RNAcentral lists this ribosomal RNA (254 nucleotides) under uncultured bacterium. Its description in RNAcentral is "partial 16S ribosomal RNA". It matches the Rfam family "Bacterial small subunit ribosomal RNA", at positions 524 to 776 of the family's 1533-position model. The record is from RNAcentral.
UACGGAGGGAGCUAGCGUUGUUCGGAAUUACUGGGCGUAAAGCGCGCGUAGGCGGCUUUGUAAGUUAGAGGUGAAAGCCCGGGGCUCAACCCCGGAACUGCCUUUAAAACUGCAUCGCUUGAAUCCGGGAGAGGUGAGUGGAAUUCCGAGUGUAGAGGUGAAAUUCGUAGAUAUUCGGAAGGAACACCAGUGGCGAAGGCGGCUACCUGGCCUAAUACUGACACUGAGGCACGAAAGCGUGGGGAGCAAACAGG